GUAGGGAAUCUUCCGCAAUGGGCGCAAGCCUGACGGAGCAACGCCGCGUGAGUGAUGAAGGCCUUCGGGUUGUAAAACUCUGUCUUCUGUGAAGAACAUCCUUGUGCAGGGAAAGCUCAAGGUCUGACGGUAACAGAGGAGGAAGCCCCGGCUAACUACGUGCCAGCAGCCGCGGUAAUACGUAGGGGGCAAGCGUUGUCCGGAUUCACUGGGCGUAAAGCGCGCGCAGGCGGUUCUUCACGUCCGGGGUGAAAACCCAGAGCUCAACUCUGGGACUGCCUUGGAUACGGGGGAACUUGAGGAUCGGAGAGGCAAGGGGAAUUCCACGUGUAGCGGUGAAAUGCGUAGAGAUGUGGAGGAACACCUGUGGCGAAGGCGCCUUGCUGGCCGGUUUCUGACGCUGAGGCGCGAAAGCGUGGGGAGCAAACAGGAUUAGAAACCCCAGUAGUCC
This 451-nucleotide ribosomal RNA is filed under the name uncultured bacterium. Its description in RNAcentral is "bacterial SSU rRNA". It matches the Rfam family "Bacterial small subunit ribosomal RNA", at positions 354 to 796 of the family's 1533-position model. The record is from RNAcentral.